This 1264-nucleotide long non-coding RNA is filed under the name Anas platyrhynchos platyrhynchos (common mallard). RNAcentral's name for it is "lncRNA (ENSAPLG00000027584.1)". The record is from RNAcentral. Lineage: Eukaryota; Metazoa; Chordata; Aves; Anseriformes; Anatidae.
AUAAAAUUAAGGAAGAGUAAAAUGUGCCUCCCACAUGCACAUGUGAGGGACAGGAUUUUUCCAUGUGUAUCAAGUUCAUCCAAGAACUACAAUGAAAGGAAUGUAACUUCCUGUUAAUAAGGCCAGAAACUUUUGACAGGGAGCCUUUAUAAAUAAUCCAGUGCAGAGACUCCUACCUUCAGUUUGCGUGGGUACAUCUGUGUACCAAGAGGGCGCAUAACAAUGAGGAGACAUUUCUUCUCAGAAAGAGUGAUCAGGCAUUGGAAUAGGUUGCCCAAGGAAGUGGUGGAGUCACCGUCCCUGGGGGCGUUCAAAGGAAAGGUUGGACCUGGUGCUUAGGAACGUGGUUUAGUGGGUGACAUUGGCAGUGGGGUGAUGGUUGGACCAGAUCAUAUUGAAGGUCUUUUCCAACCUUAAUUUUUCUAUGAUUCUAUGCAGAAGGAAGAGGAUUCCUGGCCUGUCCUCACCCCAGGCUAGGGGCCCAGCCAGCGUAGGGUCUCCCACCUGGCCAGCAGCAAGGCCUGUGUGGAGGUGGUUGCCAUCUUGGCCCAGCCCAUGCCUAUAAGCAAUCAGCCACAGUCCAGGCAGCUGAUUGCUUACCAAUCAACCACCAGGUGCAGGUCUCAGGUCUCAGACCCUGAUCUAGAACCUUCUUUGCACACCCUUUCAGAGGAACUUGGGUACUGUUAGUGGUGGACGUGCCCCAGCUGUAGUGAAAGCUACUUCCACAGCUGAAGUGGUCACUGAAAUGGCAGAAAAGCAACCUGAGAGAAGGCUGUCUGGUGUUUGCUCUGUUUUAAGUGGGAAAAAGUGGAUUGAUCUCCAGAGGAAACAUGAAGAACCAAACAUCCAAUUGCAUGUUUGCAGGGGCCCAGCAAAGUCCAAAAUCAUAGAGAACUGGAAAAAUGUGUAUAAUGAUUGGAGCUACCCUGCUAGGACGGUGGUUAUCCUGGGAAGGACUGGGACUCAAACACCAGUUUGGCUUUGUGAGGAGCACUGCUUGUUGAGCGUGGGGUCUUUGGCAGUCAUCUUUGUGGGAGACAACAAAAAUUGCCUAGAAGAAAAUAUGAUGAAGUGCUAUUUUCAAACACCUCAGUGACUCCGCAGAAGCCAUUAGUGGCUAUGAUUUCUCUUAUAUUAUUUUACUGCAUUUUUCCGUUUCAACAAAAAUGUACAAUGCCUGUCUGCAUGGGGUGAACUGCAGAUGUAGUGGAGAGGAGGAAAAGUUCAUUUCAAACAUGAAUGUUGAAAAACUUCAUGCAGU